Molecule: ribosomal RNA, 253 nt
Filed under: uncultured bacterium
Lineage: Bacteria
Description: partial 16S ribosomal RNA
Rfam family: Bacterial small subunit ribosomal RNA
Source: RNAcentral
UACAGAGGUCUCGAGCGUUGUUCGGAUUCAUUGGGCGUAAAGGGCGCGUAGGCUGCGGGGCAAGUCGGGUGUGAAAUCUCAGAGCUCAACUCUGAAACUGCACUCGAUACUGCUUUGCUUGAGGACUGGAGAGGAGAUUGGAAUUCACGGUGUAGCAGUGAAAUGCGUAGAUAUCGUAAGGAAGACCAGUGGCGAAGGCGGGUCUCUGGACAGUUCCUGACGCUGAGGCACGAAGGUCAGGGGAGCAAACGGG